GUAUGAUUUUAUAUAUAUAUAUAUAUAUAUAUACAGAGAAGAUUAGCAAGGACGACACGCAAAAUCGUGAAGCGUUCCUAAUUUUU
RNAcentral lists this small nuclear RNA (86 nucleotides) under Hofstenia miamia. The record is from RNAcentral. Lineage: Eukaryota; Metazoa; Xenacoelomorpha; Acoela; Hofsteniidae.